GUACUGUAAAGGAUAGAAUAAAAAUUAUAAAGAAUAUAUAUAUUAUACUACCUUUUGUAUCAGGUUUAAUUAAUAUAUAAUAUAUUAAUCAAUUUCGAAAUUAUUUGAUCUAAUAAAGAAUAUAAUUUGUUUGUAGAAAAAAAGAAAUAAUUCUUUUUUAGUGGUGAAAAUCCUUCCGAAAAUAAUAAUAUCUAAUUAAAAACGAAAUAAUUAAGUUUAUUAUUUGUAAAAUAUAAGUCCAGUUGGGUAAGCUAAUUGGAAUAAAAUAAUAAAAAGUAAGUAGUAAAAACUAGGCUUUAAAUUAGCUAUGUUUAUAAUUUGUAUUAAGUAAUUUCUUUUUUAAUAAAAAAUAUUUUAAAUUAGUUUUUUAAAUUUUUUUAAUUAUAUAAAAAUUAUAAAAAUGAUUAAAUUAGUAUUUUUGUAAGUUAAAUUUUAUGAACUCAAAUAUAUUUUGACUGUUUAACAAAAACAUUUCUUUUUGAAAAAUAAAAAGUAAAGCCUGCCCGGUGAAUUUUUAACGGCUGCGGUAUUUUGACCGUGCUAAGGUAGCAUAAUAAAUUGUUCUUUAAUUGGGAACUGGAAUGAAAGGUUAUACAAUUUAUAAUUUUAUUAAAUUUAAUAUAUGAAUUUUCAUUAUAAGUAAAAAUGCUUAUAUUUUAUAAAGGGACGAUAAGACCCUAGAAGCUUUAGUUUUUAGUGAUAUAAUAUAGUUAUAUUUAUAGGUUAUAUUUUAAAAAAUUUUGAUUGGGGAAAUAAGAAUUUUAUAAAUAAUUUUGUUAGGUAUGAUUAUAAUAUUUAAAGAUCUUUUAUAUAAAAAUGGGAUGUAAAAGUUACUCUAGGGAUAACAGCAUAAUAAUUUUGGAUAGACCUUAUAUAUAAAAUUGAUUAUGACCUCGAUGUUGAAUUAAAAAUAUCUUUAUAAAGUAGAAAUUAUAAAAGAAGGUUUGUUCAACCUUUAAUUUUUUACAUGAUUUGAGUUCAGACCGGUUUAAGCCAGGUCGGUUUCUAUCUUUUAUUAUAUAAUAGUUUUUUUAGUACGAAAGGACCAAAUAACUUUAAUAUUU
This 1064-nucleotide ribosomal RNA is filed under the name Metacrangonyx repens. Its description in RNAcentral is "16S ribosomal RNA". Lineage: Eukaryota; Metazoa; Arthropoda; Malacostraca; Amphipoda; Metacrangonyctidae. The record is from RNAcentral.